UGAAUGGAAGAAAGAACAAAGUGAAGAGAAAGGGCAAGUGAAGCGCGCGCCUUUUUCUUUUUCCUUUUCUUUUUCUUCCUUUCAUUCGUGUUUUGUUGUGCCUUUUUUGUUCCUUUGGU
Molecule: non-coding RNA, 119 nt
Filed under: Symbiodinium sp. CCMP2430
Lineage: Eukaryota; Dinophyceae; Suessiales; Symbiodiniaceae
Source: RNAcentral